AGUGAACGCUGGCGGUAGGCCUAACACAUGCAAGUCGAACGGCAGCACAGUAAGAGCUUGCUCUUACGGGUGGCGAGUGGCGGACGGGUGAGGAAUACAUCGGAAUCUACUUUUUCGUGGGGGAUAACGUAGGGAAACUUACGCUAAUACCGCAUACGACCUACGGGUGAAAGCAGGGGAUCUUCGGACCUUGCGCGAUUGAAUGAGCCGAUGUCGGAUUAGCUAGUUGGCGGGGUAAAGGCCCACCAAGGCGACGAUCCGUAGCUGGUCUGAGAGGAUGAUCAGCCACACUGGAACUGAGACACGUUCCAGACUCCUACGGGAGGCAGCAGUGGGGAAUAUUGGACAAUGGGCGCAAGCCUGAUCCAGCCAUACCGCGUGGGUGAAGAAGGCCUUCGGGUUGUAAAGCCCUUUUGUUGGGAAAGAAAAGCAGCAGGUUAAUACCCCGCUGUUCUGACGGUACCCAAAGAAUAAGCACCGGCUAACUUCGU
RNAcentral lists this ribosomal RNA (491 nucleotides) under uncultured bacterium. RNAcentral describes it as "partial 16S ribosomal RNA". It matches the Rfam family "Bacterial small subunit ribosomal RNA", at positions 29 to 506 of the family's 1533-position model. The record is from RNAcentral.